RNAcentral lists this transfer RNA (83 nucleotides) under Mycolicibacterium arabiense. Its description in RNAcentral is "tRNA-Asp". The record is from RNAcentral. Lineage: Bacteria; Bacillati; Actinomycetota; Actinomycetes; Mycobacteriales; Mycobacteriaceae.
CGACCGCGGGCGUCACGGCACCCGCUCCGCUGUCGUCGGAGCGCUCCCGCGCGGCAGCGGUGAUCGCGUCCUCGGUGAUCGAC